Molecule: ribosomal RNA, 228 nt
Filed under: uncultured bacterium
Lineage: Bacteria
Description: partial 16S ribosomal RNA
Rfam family: Bacterial small subunit ribosomal RNA
Source: RNAcentral
GAUCAUGGCUCAGGACGAACGCUGGCGGCGUGCUUAACACAUGCAAGUCGAACGAGAAUCUGCGGAACGAGGAUUCGUCCAAGUGAAGCAGAGGACAGUGGCGGACGGGUGAGUAACGCGUGAGGAACCUGCCUUCCAGAGGGGGGACAACAGUUGGAAACGACUGCUAAUACCGCAUAACACAUAGGUGUCGCAUGGCACUGAUGUCAAAGAUUUAUCGCUGAAAGA